This 497-nucleotide ribosomal RNA is filed under the name uncultured bacterium. RNAcentral's name for it is "bacterial SSU rRNA". It matches the Rfam family "Bacterial small subunit ribosomal RNA", at positions 26 to 507 of the family's 1533-position model. The record is from RNAcentral.
UACGAGGACGAACGCUGGCGGCGUGCUUAACACAUGCAAGUGGAGCGACGAACCGGGCUUGCCCCGGGGCAGAGCCGCGAACGGGUGAGUAACACGUGGGUAACCUGCCUCAAUGAUUGGGACAACCCGGGGAAACUCGGGCUAAUACCAAAUGUGUUCACUCCUUCUAAGGGGAGUGAGGAAAGGAAGCUUCGGCCUCCGCAUUGAGAUGGGCCCGCGGCCCAUUAGCUUGUUGGUGAGGUAACGGCUCACCAAGGCUUCGAUGGGUAGCUGGUCUGAGAGGACGAUCAGCCACACUGGGACUGAGACACGGCCCAGACUCCUACGGGAGGCAGCAGUGGGGAAUCUUGCACAAUGCGCGAAAGCGUGAUGCAGCAACGCCGCGUGGGGAAGACGGCCUUCGGGUUGUAAACCCCUUUCAGUUGGGACGAAGCUUCGUCGGUGAAUAGCCGGUUGGAGUGACGGUACCUUCAGAAGAAGCCCCGGCUAACUACGUG